This 3067-nucleotide long non-coding RNA is filed under the name Sus scrofa (pig). Its description in RNAcentral is "lncRNA (ENSSSCG00000062795.1)". Lineage: Eukaryota; Metazoa; Chordata; Mammalia; Artiodactyla; Suidae. The record is from RNAcentral.
GGGGAGGGAGAGGAAUGAACUGGGAGUGUGGGGUUAGUAGAUGAAAAAUGUUACAUUUAUAAUGGUGAAACAACAAGAUCCUACUGUAUUGCACAGGGAACUAUAUUCAAUACCCUUUGAUAAACCAUAAUGGAAAAGAAUAUGAAAAAGAAUAUAUACAUAUAUGUAUAACAGAGUCACUGCUGUAUAGCAGAAAUUGGCACAACAUUGUAAGUCAUAUACUUUAAUUAAAAAAAUUAAAAAAAAAGAAAAUGUAGUUAUUUCUAUGGCAUGCAGUAAUUUAGAAUCAAUUUCCAUUAUGGUGCAGCAGGCUAAAGACCUGGCAUUGUCUCUGUGGUGGUGUGGGUUUGAUCCCAGUUCUGGUGCAUUGAGUUAAGGGUCUGGCAUUUGUGGUAGCAGUGAUUUGAUCCCUGGUCUUGGAACUUCCACAUGCCAUGGAUGCAGCCAUUAAAAAUAAUUUAGGUAAUUGGACAAGGAGAGUAUUGACAAAUUUCUAGAAACUUUAAACAAUUUCUACAAUACCUGUUUUAGGUAUAUAUAUACAUCCAUACGCAUGACCUCAGAAGACUUGUCAUCAUUUCUUAUAGGACAGUGCUUCCCAUAUAAUUUAACAUACCAAAUAAACAUAUUUAGUUUAACAUCUCUCUUUCACAUGGUGAGAGACAAAUCCUUUGUGAUUUUCCAGGGGCCCUCUGGGAAAUCUCAUGUACUUUGAGAUCAAAACAGCUCCAUUUAGAAUUUGAUUUGGAGAGUUAUCAUAAUGAAAAGUGUUUGAACAUUUGAUUAAAUAGGAUCUCAGAUCAUCAUGAAGUAUUAUUUAACCAAAGUACCAGUAGAAUAUUUUAAAGGCAAAUACAUAAGGUUACAUACUUGUGAAUAAAACUUAGCUUGUUUAAUAUCGAAGAGACUAGCUUUUCUUAAGUAAUCAGACUUUAAAAAGACAGUGUGAAGCACAGUAAAUUAUCUUGGUAAAGACGCAAAAUCUUUGCUUUCCAGAUUAUCCAAAAGAUUAAAAAAAAAAAUCUUUUACAGUUUUUAUGAAGAGCAGACCAAUAGUCCAAAAUAGCUUUGUUUUUGGACUUCCUGUGUGGCUCACAAAAUAGCUUUGUUCUUUUAACAAAGAGAGAAAACUAAAUUCUGAUUUUGUACUAGUGUACUUUUGAUCUUAAAACUAAUUCUUUAAAACUUAAAUAAAUUCAUUCCAGUUUUGGUCAGCUUGACUACAGACAGGAUUGUUUUUUCCAAGAUUCCUUUUCCACAAACCUUCUGAAACUUUAAAAAUAUUCAUUCAGGUUUUAACCUAUGUUUUUUUCCUCCUUUUUAUUCUGGUUGUUCUAUUUUUUAUUUUUUUUAAAAAUAUGUUUUUCAUACACAGUUGUUUACUUUCAGCUUUAUUAUUUCUAAGUAGUUUUAUUUACAUAUAUUGAUUAGAAUUCUUAACACUUAGAAUCGUUUAUUCCUCAUGAAAAAUAAGUAAGUGAUUGUGGACAGUCUGUUUCACUAGCAUUCUGUGGCUUGGCAAAUUUAUAAAUAUAUUUCACAAUUUCUGGAAGUAUAUUCUUCCUCAUAGUAACAUUUUCAAUGUGGAUUAAACAUGUUUACUAAGAGAUCAAAUAGAAAACUGAAGUGGAUAAACUUAUUGUUAAUGUUUUAGUAUUUUAUAUUAUUUGGAAAUGAUCUAGAUAUUCAUUGAAUAUCUAGACCAUUUAUUUAUGUCAGUAUAACUUUAAGGUUUCAAAUUGCCAAAAAAGGCUUUAGAAAAAUUUAAAGUAGAUGUAACAUAAAGUGUAAUUAUUAUUGAAAAGUUUAUUUGUAAACUUUUAUUUUACAUCUAUUUAAUUGAUUUGUUCUUAACAAUUAUGUUUAGAUUACUCAUAAAAAUUCACAAGACAUUAAAUAACUGUCCAUCAUCUUGAGUUAUCUUUCUUGCUGACAAAUUCUGUGACAGAGAUAACAUGAGCUUAUUUGACUGAUAGUAAACCUGAGUAGAAUAAAUUAUUAUAUUUAAUGCCAAUAACUCUAAAGACAUGCCUAUUUUAAUUAAAGUAACACUCUGGAACUACCUUUUAUUUACUGAAUAUUAUCCUAAAUCACAUGAACUUGAAAAAUAUUUGGGUUGGUUUCCAUCCUUCUGAGAGUAUACUUGCUUUAUAUAAAUGCUUGUUUGUCCUCAAGCCAAUUAAAUAGAACUCUUUACAAAAUUAAUUUUGGCAAUACCAUAUCUAGAGGCAUAUAGGGGUGCAACCCACACUUCUGUCCAGCCAUAUUUUUGGGGCCGCCUUUCUUGCCAAGUCAAGGUUUCAGGACACAAAAUGAGACAAACAAGGAGCCAAUAGCUGACCCUGGGAGAGAAAGGAUUGAUAACCGAUGCUUUUUCUGCCAAUCUGAAUUUGGAAAAAAAGGGACAGUUGUGAAAUUUUACCUUCCUUUUUUGACCAGGCACUUCAGAUAGAGAUCUGGGAAAGCUGACUUUGGUAAGAAUUCUUACCUUUUGCUGGGUUCUGCCAAUUUCCCCAGGUUCCCAUAUGCAAGCUCUGGAGCAAGUGGGUUUGUCUCAGGAGGUCUCAUUAUGGUUACCAGAAACUAUAGAGGAGGAAAAAUAAUUUUCUCUUUACUCUUUAUGAUGAGUCCUUGGCUGAGACCCCUUUUUCUCUGGGAUACCUCAUAAAUGGAUAAGCUUAUCUAGGUUAAAAACUGUCCAUUGUAGCCACUAUAACUCAAGAUUACUUUUUUAAAAAUUUUGUCUUUUUAGGGCUAGGGGUACAAUCAGAGCUGCAGCUGCUGGCCUAUACCAUAGCCACAGUGACACAGGAUCUGAGUUGUGUCUGUGACCUACACCACAGCUCCUGGCAAUGCCGGACCCCCAACCCACUGAGCAAGGCCUGGGAUCGAACCCACAUCCUCAUGGAUCCUAGUUUGGUUUGUUACUGUUGAGCCAUGACGGGAACUCCCAAGAUUACAUUUUGGUAAGGUUAACCUGUUUGUUAACAAAAUUUUAACACUCCAGCUUAAGUCAAUCCCAGUCUGAACUUGGACCUAGUUUGGUUGAACACUGUAAACCAGCUAU